This is an RNA transcript of Nomascus leucogenys (northern white-cheeked gibbon), 885 nucleotides long. It is a transcript of the gene named histone acetyltransferase KAT7 pseudogene, with no coding region annotated. The record is from RefSeq and is a predicted model, not a curated record. NCBI's taxonomy places the organism in Eukaryota, Metazoa, Chordata, Mammalia, Primates, Hylobatidae. The transcript has a single exon.
ACAGAGGGAAGCAACAUGAUUAAAGCAAUUGCUUUUGGCCUCUAUGACCUUGAUACCUGGUAUCAUUCUCCAUAUCCUGAAGAAUAUGCACGGCUGGGAUGUCUCUAUAUGUGUGAAUUCUGCUUAAAAUAUAUGAAGAGCCAAACGAUACUCCACCGGCACAUGGCCAAAUGUGUGUGGAAACACCCACCUUGUGAUGAGAUAUAUCGCAAAGGUUCAAUCUCUGUGUUUGAAGUAGAUGGCAAGAAAAACAAGAUCUACUGCCAAAACCUGUGUCUGUUGGCCAAACUUUUUCUGGACCACAAGACAUUACAUUAUGAUGUGGAGCCCUUCCUGCUCUAUGUUAUGACAGAGGCGGACAAUACUGGCUGUCACCUGACUGGAUGUUUUUCCAAGGAAAAGAAUUCAUUCCUCAACUGCAACAUAUCCUGUAUCCUUACUAUGCCUCAGUACAUGAGACAGGGCUAUGGCAAGAUGCUUAUUGAUUUCAGUUAUUUGCUUUCCAAAGUUGAAGAAAAAGUUGGCUCCCCAGAACAUCCAUUCUUAGAUCUGGGGCUUAUAAGCUAUCGCAGUUACUGGAAAGAAGUACUUCUCUGCUACCUGCAUAAUUUCCAAGGCAAAGAGAUUUCUAUCAAAGAAAUCAGUCAGGAGACGGCUAUGAAUGCUGUGGACAUUGUCAGCACUCUGCAAGCCCUUCAGAUCCUCAAGUACUAUAAGGGAAAACACCUAGUUUUAAAGAGACAGGACCUGAUUGAUGAGUGGAUAGCCAAAGAGGCCAAAAGGUCCAACUCCAAUAAAACCAUGGAUCCCAGCUGCUUAAAAUGGACCCCUCCCAAGGGCACUGAAAGUGACCUGCCAUUCCAAGCCAGCGAACCCCAGCAGUAG